GAUUUUGUAGGUUCAUUAAUCAAGUCUUGGCCGAAGAACUUGACAAGUUUCCAACAAUUAAAGAUCCAGAUCAUGAAAUUGCAUUUCAAUUAUUUGCGAAAGGAUAUCAAUUGCUAG
Molecule: ribosomal RNA, 117 nt
Filed under: Triticum aestivum (bread wheat)
Lineage: Eukaryota; Viridiplantae; Streptophyta; Magnoliopsida; Poales; Poaceae
Description: partial small subunit ribosomal RNA
Source: RNAcentral